AUUUCUUCAAACUUCAUUCUAGACAUAUCUAGAUCAUCUUGUGUAGAUCAUCUCUGCAAAAUUUCAGCCAAUUUGGUGAUCGUUAAGGCCCUCAAACUCGAAAAACAAAUGGACGGACUGAAUUCUGUCUGGUUGUGUUCAUACCAGAAAAACUCGAGGUUUNNNNNNNNNNNNNNNNNNNNUAGAUAUGUCUAGAAGGAAGUUUGAGGAAAUUCGAUCGGGAAGUGGUGCAAAAAUGGAAAUCCGCACCAAAAACUUUGGUGCGGACGUCCGCACCUGAUCAGCAUUGAGUAUAUAUAUAUAUAUACCCCAUCAAAAUUUCCGUUAGAAUAAUAUAAAACUCAACUUAUGCAAAUCAUCAAACAUGCAUUCUUUCACCUUGAACCCAAGUUUACUAAACAUUCUAACUAGAUUUACUAUGGACACCCAUUUCAACUAAAACCAAUCUCAAAUCCAUACAUAACACUCCAAUAUUCACUUCAAUGCAUAAACACAAUCUAACAACUGUCUAAUAGUAAUAUUCCUAUACCCGGUUAUCAAUUUUAACCGUUAAUAUCGCUAGUCUUCGGAAAAUCCGAAACCUAACCAACAUUACUCCAAAAAUUGCUAACUUUCCACCAAUGGGUUUAUCUCAUUUUUAGCAAUUUAAUAAGCAUGAAAAACUGCCUAAAAAGUGGCAGCACCACCCGGCGGCCAAUCUCCGGCCACCCCCAAUCGUCACCAAAAUUUGACAGAACCUUCCUCUCAUCCCACACAACAACUUCCUAAAAGAAGUCGAAGACCAAUUCUAAGCCUAAACAGGUCAAUCAAAUCAAAAACACAAUAAAGAACCCUAGAACUCCAAUUAUACAUUUCACCCUAACAAGAUUGAAUUGGACUAAUUCUUUUUGAGGGAUUACUCACCUUGAUGAGAGCUACAAGAUGAGCCACGAAUCACGAACUUUGGUGGCUGGAGGAGCAAUUUCUGGCUAGUGGACCAUCCGGUGUUCCGACGGGAUUUCUCACGUCCGGCGGCGUCAUCGACCCAGGAAGGAAGAGGAGGCGACGAGGGUCCAAACGGGACCAGUCCGACGAUCUCUGAUGGCCGGACGGCGGCAGGUGAUGGUGGUGAAGCCGGCCGGUCCCGGGGAGACUCGGGAGGAAGGAGAGAGGAAGGAAACCCGGGGCCAAUCUCCGGCCACCCCCAAUCGUCACCAAAAUUUGACAGAACCUUCCUCUCAACCCACACAACAACUUCCUAAAAGAAGUCGAAGACCAAUUCUAAGCCUAAACAGGUCAAUCAAAUCAAAAACACAAUAAAGAACCCUAGAACUCCAAUUAUACAUUUCACCCUAACAAGAUUGAAUUGGACCAAUUCUUUUUGAGGGAUUACUCACCUUGAUGAGAGCUACAAGAUGAGCCACGAAUCACGAACUUUGGUGGCUGGAGGAGCAAUUUCCGGCUAAUGGACCAUCCGGCGUUCCGACGGGAUUUCUCACGUCCGGCGGCGUCACCGACCCAAGAAGGAAGAUGAGGCGACGAGGGUCCAAACGGGACCAGUCCGACGAUCUCUGGUGGCCGGACGGCGGCAAGUGAUGGUGGUGAAGCUGGCCGGUCCCGGGGAGACUCGGGAGGAAGGAGAGAGGAAGGAAAGAGAGUUGGGGGGGGGUGGUGUGUGUGUGUGUGUGGGUUGUAUUGUGUGUGGGCCGCUCCACCUUGGUCCAACUUUAAUACCCACAAAAAAAAUAAAGCCUACCAAAAAUUUACCUCCAACCAAAAUAGUAACUUCCGUUUUUAGACCAUAACUUUCUUCAUACGAACACUGAUUUAAACGUGCCACGUGUCAACGAACUCGUAUUAACGUCAUCUACGACUUCCAUGAAGGAAGUUUUCCCAAAUUAUCGACUUAACGUCAACUUUUUGGGUCCUUUACAGUAAAACGGUUACAAGAAACAAUAAUUAAAAAUUUACUGUAAACUUCAUAAAUUCACAAAACAUAGCUUGUCGCUCCGGAAAAUAAUCUGGGCAUAUCGGUGAGCUCGUAUAAACGUGUACCACGAUUUCGGAGUUUUAAAUCCACUAUUUACCAUUUUCAGACAAACUCGAAAACAAAAUCAAGCAAUCGCUAUUUAAAUCUCUGAGCGCGAAUGAAGAAGCAUUCGCGGUAACUCGUAACCCCGAACAGUAACCUUUUAGGUACGGGGUAUUACAGAUACUUUCGGGCUUGUCUUGCAACUAUCUCAGAGUCCAUGUUGCUAAGGUGUUGAUGGUUGAGGAAGAAGACCACAGGGAUACCUCCUCUGUGUAGGAUGGUUUCGGGUUUGUAAAAUAAAUCAGGAUUAGCGCAUGCCCAAUCCUUUUGGUUAUGGUCUUUUGACUUUAGUUUUAGUUUUAUUUUCUGCUGGUUGAACUCCAUGUUAGUUUCUUUUAGGUCUCUUUCGAGCUAUCUAGUAUGGCUUCAUUCUCUCGGCCUUUGCGAGCGGGUCAUGUUGUAAUUACCAUUUUUCGUUUUGGUAUUAAAGGCUUCACACCCAUGUUUCAAAAAACAAAUCUCCGAUAUUUAGGAUAUUUGGGAUAUGUAUCCGAUAUACUAAAGAAAUAUAUGUAAAAAUUAUAGGCAUAAAGAAAAAUCACCACAAAAGAUACUCAAGAGAUAAAUAAUUCCUUUGAGGCAUAUUCCAAUAAAGAAAAGGUCUGAAGUGAUUUAUGGGAGAGGGGUAAUCCCCUUGAGGGUUAUAAAAAUUUUACAAUGUGUUAAUGCAUGACAUAUUUCAACUCUGUCAUAAAAUUGUAAAAUGAGUCAUUAAAGUGAUAAUAUUAGUCAUUAAAGUUGUAAAUAUUCUUAGUUAUCUCAUGAGUUUUUAAUUCAUUUGAGGUACAUUCCAAUAAAGAGUAAGGGUCUAAAGUGAUUUAUGGGAGAGGGGUAAUCAUCUUGAGGGUUAUAUAAAUUCUACAAUGUGUUAAUGCAUGACAUAUUUCAACUCUGUCAUAAAAUUGUAAAAUGAUUCAUCAAAAUGAUAAUAUUAGUCAUUAAAGUUGUAAAUAUUCUUAGUUAUCUCAUGAGUUUUUAAAGUAGUAAUAUUAAUAUUUAAAGUGGUAAUCUGAGUCAUUAAAGUGAUUAAAAAAAGUUGAUACAACUUUGAGGACUAAAUUACCAUUAUAAGAACACAUUUUACCAUUUAAGGACUAAUGUUGUAAUUAAAAUUUUACAACUUUAAAGACGCAUAUUACAACUUUAAUGACCAAUUUUAUUAAUUUGAGGACUCAUUUUUCAAUUUAGGACAAAAUUGAUGCAUGUUAUGCAUAACACACCUUAGCCUUCCCAGGAGGGAUAUCUAGAUGUGGAGUGAGUAUCAUCGUGCGUCUUUUCAACUAUAUAGAGUCUUUUUCUAGAUGUAGACGAAGUUGAUGUUUGUAGUUUUGUACUGUUUAUAUGUAAAUCUAUUAAAUUUCAGAAUAAAUUUUAUGUGACAGCCCGGAAUUUAAUUAUGUAUAUACCUAUUUACAAAUUUGCUUAUAUAUUACAUGUAUCUAUAUAUAGGUAUGACUGUUUAAGUGGUGUGUGUAUAUAUAUGUUGUUAUAUAUGCUGAAAAUUAAUAUAGUUAUAUAGUUUAUUUUAUUUUUAUUGAAUUUAAUGAGUAGAGUUUUUAUCGAAGCCCAAUACCCAAAUACAAAACCCAAGCCCAAACUUGAUAUAGCUAGGAAAAAAGUCAAAAACUGUUGUCUUGAGAUUGUAGAACGAUUGCUUUCUUCUUCAACGACUUCUUCUCCUUUCACCACCUUCUCCUCCUUGACCGACUUCUUCUUCUUUCCUUGUUCUCCAAGUCUGAAAACUUUCUCUAACCGCCUUAGAUAGCUAGCUACCGCCUUAAAAGAGUCAAAUUUCACGGCUACCGCCAUGAACAAACAGGAGGUGUCAAAUUCCUAGGGAUUUGUUGAUGACUCAUUGAAGCUAUACAGUAGGAGCUAGAACCCUAGGAGUCUAGUCUAGCACCUAAAAGGGUAAGAUUUUAGUUGCAUAAUUCAAUUUUGCUUCUUAUGAUUUUGUCUUGGACGCCAAGUUCUACACUUU
Molecule: long non-coding RNA, 4052 nt
Filed under: Fragaria vesca (wild strawberry)
Lineage: Eukaryota; Viridiplantae; Streptophyta; Magnoliopsida; Rosales; Rosaceae
Description: long non-coding RNA (FVES_LNC002677)
Source: RNAcentral